AUUGAACGCUGGCGGCAGGCUUAACACAUGCAAGUCGAGCGGGGGAAGGUAGCUUGCUACCGGACCUAGCGGCGGACGGGUGGGUAAUGCUUAGGAAUCUGCCUAUUAGUGGGGGACAACAUCUCGAAAGGGAUACUAGUACAGCAUACGUCCUACGGGAGAAAGCAGGGGAUCUUCGGACCUUGCGCUAAUAGAUGAGCAUAAGGCGGAUUAGCUAGUUGGUGGGGGAAAGGCCUACCAAGGCGACGAUCUGUAGCGGGUCUGAGAGGAUGAUCCGCCACACUGGGACUGAGACACGGCCCAGACUCCUACGGGAGGCAGCAGUGGGGAAUAUUGGACAAUGGGGGGAACCCUGAUCCAGCCAUGCCGCGUGUGUGAAGAAGGCCUUAUGGUUGUAAAGCACUUUAAGCGAGGAGGAGGCUACUUUAGUUAAUACCUAGAGAUAGUGGACGUUACUCGCAGAAUAAGCACCGGCUAACUCUGUGCCAGCAGCCGCCGUAA
This 501-nucleotide ribosomal RNA is filed under the name uncultured bacterium. RNAcentral describes it as "partial 16S ribosomal RNA". It matches the Rfam family "Bacterial small subunit ribosomal RNA", at positions 30 to 523 of the family's 1533-position model. The record is from RNAcentral.